CAAUGGAGCAGAUCAGAGUUGUUAGAGAAGAAAAGCAGCUGCUGAACUUUACUGGACUAUAAUACUGGAUGUUGGAUGGAAGAAAGACAUAAAGAGUUACAGAGACUUCUUCCUCCAUCUUGCAGCCUCCUCCUGCGGUUGAGCUGGUCAUUGACAUGCGGCUUCUCUCUGGUCACGUUGUUGAGGACAACAUGAGAAUUCCUGAUCAACAAGAGAGCUGUGAACGGUGUGG
Non-coding RNA from Gasterosteus aculeatus aculeatus (three-spined stickleback), 232 nucleotides. The record is from RefSeq and is a predicted model, not a curated record. Lineage: Eukaryota; Metazoa; Chordata; Actinopteri; Perciformes; Gasterosteidae.